AAACUCGGCAAAUUGAUACCGUAACUUCGGGAGAAGGUAUGCCCCGGUAGUGUGAGGCGCCUGCGCGCUGAGCAUGAUGGGGUCGCAGAGAAUCGGUGGCUGCGACUGUUUAUUAAAAACACAGCACUCUGCAAAGACGAAAGUCGACGUAUAGGGUGUGACGCCUGCCGGGUGCCGGAAGGUUAAGUGAUGGGGUGCAAGCUCUUGAUCGAAGCCCCGGUAAACGGCGGCCGUAACAGUAACGGUCCUAAGGUAGCGAAAUUCCUUGUCGGGUAAGUUCCGACCUGCACGAAUGGCGUAACGAUGGCCACACUGUCUCCUCCCGAGACUCAGCGAAGUUGAAGUGUUUGUGAUGAUGCAAUCUACCCGCGGCUAGACGGAAAGACCCCCAUGAACCUUUACUGUAGCUUUGCAUUGGACUGUGAACCGGCCUGUGUAGGAUAGGUGGGAGGCGCUGAAACCGAGUCGCUAGAUUCGGUGGAGCCAACCUUGAAAUACCACCCUGGUUUGUUUGCGGUUCUAACCUUGGUCCGUUAUCCGGAUUGGGGACAGUGCAUGGUGGGCAGUUUGACUGGGGCGGUCUCCUCCCAAAGCGUAACGGAGGAGUUCGAAGGUACGCUAGGUACGGUCGGAAAUCGUGCUGAUAGUGCAAUGGCAUAAGCGUGCUUGACUGUGAGACUGACAAGUCGAACAGGUGCGAAAGCAGGACAUAGUGAUCCGGUGGUUCUGAAUGGAAGGGCCAUCGCUCAACGGAUAAAAGGUACUCUGGGGAUAACAGGCUGAUACCGCCCAAGAGUUCAUAUCGACGGCGGUGUUUGGCACCUCGAUGUCGGCUCAUCUCAUCCUGGGGCUGUAGCCGGUCCCAAGGGUAUGGCUGUUCGCCAUUUAAAGAGGUACGUGAGCUGGGUUUAAAACGUCGUGAGACAGUUUGGUCCCUAUCUGCCGUGGGCGUUGGAUACUUGACGGAGCCUGCUCCUAGUACGAGAGGACCGGAGUGGACGUACCUCUGGUGUACCGGUUGUCAUGCCAAUGGCGUUGCCGGGUAGCUAUGUACGGAAGAGAUAACCGCUGAAGGCAUCUAAGCGGGAAACUCGUCUGAAGAUUAGGUAUCCCGGGGCCUCGAGCCCCCUGAAGGGUCGUUCAAGACCAGGACGUUGAUAGGUCAGGUGUGGAAGCGCAGUAAUGCGUUAAGCUAACUGAUACUAAUUGCCCGUGAGGCUUGAUCCG
Molecule: ribosomal RNA, 1227 nt
Filed under: metagenome
Description: bacterial LSU rRNA
Rfam family: Bacterial large subunit ribosomal RNA
Source: RNAcentral